This 1214-nucleotide ribosomal RNA is filed under the name Klebsiella grimontii. RNAcentral describes it as "partial 23S ribosomal RNA". It matches the Rfam family "Bacterial large subunit ribosomal RNA", at positions 785 to 2007 of the family's 2925-position model. The record is from RNAcentral. Lineage: Bacteria; Pseudomonadati; Pseudomonadota; Gammaproteobacteria; Enterobacterales; Enterobacteriaceae.
UACGUUGAAAAGUGCGGGGAUGAGGUGUGGGUAGCGGAGAAAUUCCAAACGAACUUGGAGAUAGCUGGUUCUCUCCGAAAUAGCUUUAGGGCUAGCCUCAGAGUAAGAAUGAUGGAGGUAGAGCACUGUUUGGACUAGGGGCCCAUCUCGGGUUACCGAAUUCAGAUAAACUCCGAAUGCCAUUCAUUCAUCUCUGGGAGUCAGACUGUGAGUGAUAAGAUCCAUAGUCGAAAGGGAAACAGCCCAGACCACCAGCUAAGGUCCCAAAAUAACUAUUAAGUGGAAAAGGAUGUGGGGUUGCACAGACAACUAGGAUGUUGGCUCAGAAGCAGCCACCAUUUAAAGAGUGCGUAAUAGCUCACUAGUCGAGUGACCCUGCGCCGAAAAUGUACCGGGGCUAAAUAGUUUACCGAAGCUGUGGAACAUACCAUUAGGUAUGUUGGUAGGAGAGCGUUCUAAGGGCGUUGAAGGUAGAUCGUGAGGACUGCUGGAGCGCUUAGAAGUGAGAAUGCCGGUAUGAGUAGCGAAAGACAGGUGAGAAUCCUGUCCACCGAAUGACUAAGGUUUCCUGGGGAAGGCUCGUCCGCCCAGGGUUAGUCGGGACCUAAGCCGAGGCCGAAAGGCGUAGGCGAUGGAUAACAGGUUGAUAUUCCUGUACCCGUUGUUUUUGUUUGAGCAAUGGAGGGACGCAGGAGGCUAAGGAAUCAGACGAUUGGAAAUGUCUGUCCAAGCAAUGAGUCUUGAGGCGAGUCAAAUGCUUGCUUCUCUAAGGACAAGUUGUGAUGGGGAGGGAAAUAAUAGUACCGAAGUUCCUGAUGUCACACUGCCGAGAAAAGCUUCUAGUGAGAAAACAAUGGCCCGUACCGCAAACCGACACAGGUAGUCGAGGAGAGAAUCCUAAGGUGAGCGAGAGAACUCUCGUUAAGGAACUCGGCAAAAUGACCCCGUAACUUCGGGAGAAGGGGUGCUGAUCUAACGAUCAGCCGCAGUGAAUAGGCCCAAGCGACUGUUUAUCAAAAACACAGGUCUCUGCAAAAUCGAAAGAUGACGUAUAGGGGCUGACGCCUGCCCGGUGCUGGAAGGUUAAGAGGAGUGCUUAGCGUAAGCGAAGGUACGAAUUGAAGCCCCAGUAAACGGCGGCCGUAACUAUAACGGUCCUAAGGUAGCGAAAUUCCUUGUCGGGUAAGUUCCGACCCGCACGAAAGGCGUAACGA